Molecule: long non-coding RNA, 300 nt
Organism: Pipistrellus kuhlii (Kuhl's pipistrelle)
Lineage: Eukaryota; Metazoa; Chordata; Mammalia; Chiroptera; Vespertilionidae
Exons: 2
Source: RefSeq, a predicted model, not a curated record
AGACAGCAAAAGUGCCCUGAAGGUCAGUGUGGGAGAAUGCCUCGGAGCACAGUAGCAGAGAGAGUUCCAGACCAGGAGAUGUCAAAAGCAAUGGAGCCCCAGUGGCACCUCCUCUGGCUCCAUCAAAGGCCACAGACCCAUCAGAACCAUUCAGCUUAGCCUGAACCACCCAGAGAGCCACAUGCCUGAAGGCUGUAGCAGUGCUUAGGAAAGUGAGAGGAAGUGGAAACGUGUGAGCAGAGGGCUCAAAGCAACGGGCUCACCACCGGAAAAAAAAAUAAAAAUAAACAUGCUCAGAAA